Molecule: long non-coding RNA, 94 nt
Organism: Sinocyclocheilus rhinocerous
Lineage: Eukaryota; Metazoa; Chordata; Actinopteri; Cypriniformes; Cyprinidae
Exons: 3
Source: RefSeq, a predicted model, not a curated record
ACGUUCAGACAAGGUCAAACUGACACAGAAAUUCAAUGUCACUGCUCAUGGCAACGGACUGGCCACUCUCUCGGUGUUUUCUCUGUAUUAUGCU